Molecule: ribosomal RNA, 1759 nt
Filed under: biogas fermenter metagenome
Description: bacterial LSU rRNA
Rfam family: Bacterial large subunit ribosomal RNA
Source: RNAcentral
GUAAUACUCAGUCGUCCCACUCUGAAUACAUAGGAGUGGGUUCGCGAUACCCGGUGAAGUGAAACAUCUCAGUAACCGGAGGAAAAGAAAGAGAAUCGAUUCCGUAAGUAGUGGCGAGCGAAAGCGGAAAAGCCCAAACCGGAGCCUUUGGUUCCGGGGUUGUAGGGCUCCAAUAUGAGACUGACGACGCUAGAUUAAGUGUGUGGAAAAGCACUCCAAAGAAGGUGAAAGGCCUGUGAUCGAAAGCUGAGUCAGCUCUAGGAUGUCCCUGAGUAGUGCGGCACACGUGAAACGUUGCAUGAAUCUGCGCCGACCACGGCGUAAGGCUAAAUACUACUUAGCGACCGAUAGUGAACCAGUACCGCGAGGGAAAGGUGAAAAGAACCGCUGUGAGCGGAGUGAAAUAGAACCUGAAACCAUAUGCUUACAAGGUGUCAAAGCCCCUUCGGGGUGAUGGCGUGCCUUUUGCUUAAUGAGUCUGCGAGUUAGUGUUCGUAGCGAGCUUAAGUCCUUCUGGGACGCAGGCGUAGCGAAAGCGAGUCCGAAUAGGGCGAUUUAGUUGCGGGUGCUAGACCCGAAGCGGAGGUGACCUACCUAUGGCCAGGUUGAAGCGUGAGUAAUAUCACGUGGAGGACCGAACCGGUGAACGUUGAAAAGUUCGGGGAUGAGCUGUGGGUAGGAGUGAAAGGCUAAUCAAACCCCGUGAUAGCUGGUUCUCCUCGAAAUGUAUUUAGGUACAGCGUCGUAUGCUGACUGUUGGGGGUAGAGCACUGAAUGAACUAGGGCCCAUACCCGGGUACCGACUUCAACCAAACUCCGAAUACCAACAGGUGUAGUACGGCAGUGAGAUUAUGGGGGAUAAGCUUCAUACUCGAAAGGGAAACAGCCCAGAUCAGCAGCUAAGGUGCCAAAAUACCGCUAAGUGGAAAGGAGGUGGGAUUACUUAGACAGUGAGGAUGUUGGCUUAGAAGCAGCCACCAUUUAAAAAGUGCGUAAUAGCUUACUCAUCGAGUGAUCCUGCGCCUAAAAUGAUUGGCGAUAAGCGGUAUACCGAAGCUCUGGAUGCACAGUUUUCUGUGCGUGGUAGAGGAGCGUUCUCAGAGCCUUGAAGCCGGAUGGUGAUUGAAGGUGGAGUUCUGAGAAGCGAGAAUGCAGACAUGAGUAACGAUAAGAGAGGUGAAAUUCCUCUCCGCCGUAAACCCGAGGUUUCCUGGGCAAUGUUCAUCAUCCCAGGGUUAGUCGGGACCUAAGCCGAGGCCGAUAGGCGUAGGCGAUGGAUAGCAGGUUAAUAUUCCUGCACCUCCUGAACCCAAAGCAUCAGGGACACAGGCUGGAUGACAACUAGGUAAUUGAAUUCCGAGGUGCGGCUACGGCCAAUCCGUAUUGUUUGAAGGACUGUCAAGAAAAGCUGAUGUGUCGUGCUAAAGGAGCCCGUACCGUAAACCAACACAGGUGGGUGGGUAGAAUAUACCAAGGCGCAAGAGUGAAACCUGGUUAAGGAACUCGGCAAAAUAGCCCCGUAACUUCGGAAUAAGGGGUGCCUGCUUCGGCAGGCCGCAGUGAAAUGGAUCAACCGACUGUUUAGCAAAAACACAGCAUUCUGCCAAGACGCAAGUCGAAGUAUAGGAUGUGACACGUGACCAAUGCCGAAAGAUUAAGGCAAGGGGUUAGUCUCCUUCGGGAGGCGAAGCUCUGAACCCAAGUCCCGGUGAAUGUCGGCCGUAACUAUAACGGUCCUAAGGUAGCGAAAUUCCUUGUC